This 468-nucleotide ribosomal RNA is filed under the name uncultured bacterium. Its description in RNAcentral is "partial 16S ribosomal RNA". It matches the Rfam family "Bacterial small subunit ribosomal RNA", at positions 28 to 507 of the family's 1533-position model. The record is from RNAcentral.
GACGAACGCUGGCGGCGUGCUUAACACAUGCAAGUCGAACGGAAAGGCCCUGCUUUUGUGGGGUGCUCGAGUGGCGAACGGGUGAGUAACACGUGAGUAACCUGCCCUUGACUUUGGGAUAACUUCAGGAAGCUGGGGCUAAUACCGUAUAGGAUCUCCUGCUCCAUGGUGGGGGUUGGAAAGUUUCGGCGGUUGGGGAUGGACUCGCGGCUUAUCAGCUUGUUGGUGGGGUAGUGGCUUACCAAGGCUUUGACGGGUAGCCGGCCUGAGAGGGUGACCGGGCACAUGGGGACUGAGAUACGGCGCAGACUCCUACGGGAGGCAGCAGUGGGGAAUAUUGCACAAUGGGCGGAAGCCUGAUGCAGCAACGCCGCGUGCGGGAUGACGGCUUUCGGGUUGUAAACCGCUUUCGCCUGUGACGAAGCGUGAGUGACGGUAAUGGGUAAAGAAGCACCGGCUAACUACGUG